Molecule: transfer RNA, 72 nt
Filed under: Bos taurus (domestic cattle)
Lineage: Eukaryota; Metazoa; Chordata; Mammalia; Artiodactyla; Bovidae
Also listed under: 5 other names
Rfam family: tRNA
About the family: Transfer RNA (tRNA) molecules are approximately 80 nucleotides in length. Their secondary structure includes four short double-helical elements and three loops (D, anti-codon, and T loops).
Source: Rfam by way of RNAcentral
UCCCUGGUGGCUUAGAUGGUAAAGAAUCUGCCUGCAAUGCAGGAGACACAGGUUUCAUCCCUGGAUUGGGAA